Mobula hypostoma (lesser devil ray) is the source of this 2186-nucleotide long non-coding RNA. RefSeq lists it as uncharacterized. The record is from RefSeq and is a predicted model, not a curated record. The transcript is spliced from 4 exons. Lineage: Eukaryota; Metazoa; Chordata; Chondrichthyes; Myliobatiformes; Myliobatidae.
GACCACAAGUUAGCUGCUCGCCUCGCGGAGCUUUCUGUCGCCUUCCAAGUACAGGCUGAGGCGCGGCCGCUGCCGGAGGGUGGAGACUAUUGCUAAGCCCUUUAUGAGUCCUGUCCUGAUAUAGCGCCCCACCCUUCCAGAACCUAUAAAAUGAGGACAAAACCAUGAGGUACGAAAAAGCAAAACACACAAAAUGCUGGAGGAACGCAGCGGGCGGGACCAUAUCUGCGGCAAUGAACAAACAGUCGACUUUUCAGGUCGAAGCUCUUCCUCACCACAUACCUAUACAGAUGCCUGAGAUGCUGCAGUUGUACCAACCUUGAUCACUCAAUCUGGCAGCUCAUUCCAGGUCCUCCUUGGGUUAUAAACAUCUUACUCGUGUACAGUCUGCACACACAAAGGAGCACUUGGGAGGCUGAUUGGAUGGAUCGCGAUGGAUUUGCUACCAUCUGGGGGCUGCAGGCAUCUUCUGCCAGCUGAGAACAGGGCAAUUCCGUGUGCCUUCUAUCUCUCCCUCUCCUCAUCGCAGCUGCCACCUUGAGGGGCUGGGUGUAGAGAAGCGGGGCUGGGAGCACAGGGCAGAAUCACUCACUGAGACAGUAAGGCUGGCUGCUGGCCACUCUCCCUGUGCCUGCCUGCUCUCCCAUCAUUGUUUCAGUGAUCCUAUCCCACACGCUCUUGUUCAUUUCCAAAUUAGAAUAGUUCAGGUUAUGAAUUGUCAGGAGCCUUUUGUAACCCUGCUGAUUUCCUGUAAAUAUAAAAGUUCUUGUAUUCUAUGUGUCUUGACAAUAAAUUCUCAAGUACAACUUCUGAUGUGAGGAAGCAUUUCAGCUACAUAGAAAGUGACAUAUCAGUAUUCUGCUGACUGACGGAAAUACCAGUUAUCCUGGCUGAAAGCCAAUCUAAUGUUUGUCAUUGUGUUUGUCUCUAAUAUUUUCAUGAGGAUAUGUUAGAACGAACUUCUUCUGUCUUGGCACUGAAACAUGUAUGUCAUCUAUCAAUAUUCAUGCAAUUUUAUAGUUCACAUUGUCAGACAACAGCUCAUUGACAGUGUUUCAGCUACAGUACAUGACUAUUGAACGGAAGUUUGUUGUAGCAGGCCAAGCAGUUCGGCCAAGUUCAUUGAGCACUCUUUACUUCAAAUAUUUUGUCAGAGCAUCAUAUCAUAAAAGCAGGAUUAAACCAUAUAGUUCCUCAAGCCUAGUUCACCAUUUAAUCAGAUCAUUACUGAUCCUAGACUUCUUUUCUGCCAAAUUCCUAUUUCCCCUGAAUGAAUAGAUUUCCAAAGAUAAAUUGAUCUCAGUCACAAAUAUACUCAAGUCUGAAUACUUACAACUAUCUAAGAAAUUGCUUCACAUUGAUGGAGUGAAUAUGGGUGAAGACCUUGUUGUUUACCAGUUUGUUUUUAAACAUCAAAAGGAAAAUGUGGAAGAUACUGAAAAUAUGAAAUGACAGAAAAUUUGAGAAGCGCUCAUUGGGUCUAUUUGUUUAUGAUUUAAACAAAAUGAAUUUAGGUAACUGAAACAUUAACCUUUCUCCACAGGUGUUGACCCACAUGCUGAAUAUUUCCAGAACUUUAUGCUUGUUAUUUCCUUUUCUAUCUUAACUCAAAAUCAGGUUCUUCAUUAGCCAUCUCUAAUUAUAUUUAAUUUCAUAAACCAAUCCUGAAAAGUCAAUCUCAUAACAUGAGGCUAUGCCUCAAGCUCACUAAUCUGAAUAAACAACUUUUUAAGAACCUAGCUUCUCAAUUUGUCUUCAGAAUAUUUAACCCAUUACUUGGAGGAAAUGAGUUGGUGAUGUUUGGUGUAGUCCACAGGGUAACUAAGUAUAUUUCAGAACCAAUAAAGUAUCCCUUUAGCUAAUGAGAAUUAAAGUUUGAGAUAGAAAAAUAAGAAUGAUAGAGAAUGAUGAUUGAUUACAGCAGGAGGAUAAGAAUUUCCCAUGCCUAACUUCAAAAAAUGUAUUUAAAUUCAGGAAUGAAACCGAUAAAGUGUUUCUUUUCAGACCAAAGUGAUAGCCAAUUAAUAGCAAAUUCAGCAAAUUGUUAACUAUAACAGUAAGACUGAAGAUGAGGUGCCAAUUGCACAAAGCAAGUAACAGAGCAAUGAUGAAUUAAUCAACAAACUUGGGAAUUCACAGUUUACAGGAUAAUCUCUGGGUAGUAAAUGGCAACAUAUAUGUAUUUU